UUUCCCCUCGACCCGUUUCCCCAGGCGCUCGGACUGAUUUCCCCUCGAUCCGAGCCACACUCGUAGGGGCUACCCCCAUAUAGUUGGUGGACGCGGGACGGAGAAGAUCCCAGCAAGCCGAUCGAGGUUCCAAUUUGAAGAAUCUGUGCAGGAUGGGGAGAAAGUUGCCCCCUUUUGCCCCGGCCGUGGUGUCGACGCAGACGGCGGCCGGAAGGAAACGCAAAACAGCCUCCUUGGCUCCGCUCACCCCCAGGAAGCGCUGGGUGCGGGCAAGCGGUGGCUGGGCGUCUCUGCCCAUCGACAUAAUCUGCCUCAUUCUCCGGCAGCUCGUCGCCAUCGGCGGCGGCGGCGACGUUGUGGACUACAUCGCCUUCCGCGCCGUCUGCUUCGGCUGGCGCGCCUGCACGCCCACGCCGCGUGACCCCACACUGCGGGAUCCGCGCCUCCGGCCGCGCGCCUGGGUUGCGCUGUGCGACGGUGACGCGGUACGCCCGGACGACGCCUGCGAGAUCCCCUUCUUCCACACGCGCACGGCCAGGUGCAUCCGCGUUCGCCUGCCAGAGCUCCGACGCCACAGAAUCGUCGGCUUCACCGACGGCCUCGUCAUCCUCCUGCACAAGAGCACCACCGCUGUCCGCGUGCUUCACCCCUUCACGCUUGUCGCCGUUGACCUCCCGCCCCUCGCCGCCGUGUACCGCGAGGUGAUCGGGCCAAAGAAGCACCAUCUGCUUGAAAUGAAUGCUGUGGUAUGCAGCAGCGCGACCUCCGCGAACUCCAUCGCUGUCAUGGUCUGGUUCCACUCGGCAAGGGUGGUGCUCGUCGCGGAGCCAGGUUCAGACUGGAAGGUACUCCAUCGAGGGAUUUAUGUUCGGAGCAUGCUGCAAUUCCAAGGAAGGCUCUACGCCACCUUCUCGGCUUCAAAAGAGAUCGUGCAGCUAUAUCCACCGAGACAACCACGGCUUGAGAAUUCGCUGGUGGUUGCUCGUAUUCCAGAUAUAUUUGGUGAGCACAUUUUCUGUCAGUUUUUCCUGGUGGAGUCUGGUGGACGAAUGCUGCUCGUUGUACAGUAUCCCCCUGGUCAUGGAAGAAAGAUGGAAUGGUCACGACAAGUAGGCUUCAGGCUCUAUGCAGUGGAUUUGUGCAGCAAAGGCAUUGGUAACUUGAUUCCGGUGAGCUGCCUAGGUGAUCGUGCGUUGUUUCUCAACAGCGAUCGAUGCCUGGCUGUUUUGGCCAGGGACCUCCCUUCUCUGAGCAGCAACUCCAUCUACUUCUCUUUACCGGACAGCCCUGUUGUGGUGCACUCAUUGAGGACUGGAUUGUCGGAGCAGUUGGCGGAGCACUGCCAAAUACACAACUCGGUGGAUAGGAUCCGCCCCUCUGUGCGCCCAUUUAGCAUUGUUGAUCAUCUUCUCACCUACUGCCAUCCUUCUCACUGGAUUGAAGGACUCAUGUUUCAUGAGUACCAUCAUAUACCUGAUUCUUUCAAGGAAUUGAGGAAGAACAUCCAGGCAAAAGAUUCACGACUGCGGAUUCCGCGCAUCAUGGGCCAGUGAAAAAUCAAGGUACGGCAACUACAAUGCCAAUGGAGACUAAACCUCUUGGAACGGUCCUAGUUAACUCUGUGUGCACAACUUCUAAGCUGGUUCUGGAGACAUAUGCCAAAGAAGUGGGGAGAGUCUGAAGCCAUGCUGAGAAAUAGGGGCACCAGCCUGAAUACAACAGCCUAUUAUUCUAACAGUCUCAUCCGGCCACUACCGGUCUGCAACGUCCGCAGCAGUGUGUCAUAAGAGCAUGUUCUGCCACGUCCGCAGCAGUGUAUCAUAAGAGCAUGUUCAACAGAUGAUGUAAAACGGUUGUUGCAUUUUAAAAAACUGUCCGCAGCAGUGUAUCAUAAGAGCAUUUUAAAAAAUUUGCUUCCGCA
RNA transcript from Triticum aestivum (bread wheat), 1921 nucleotides. RefSeq lists it as uncharacterized. The record is from RefSeq and is a predicted model, not a curated record. NCBI's taxonomy places the organism in Eukaryota, Viridiplantae, Streptophyta, Magnoliopsida, Poales, Poaceae. The transcript has 3 exons.